This 73-nucleotide transfer RNA is filed under the name Desulfococcus multivorans DSM 2059. It matches the Rfam family "tRNA". From Rfam's summary of the family: Transfer RNA (tRNA) molecules are approximately 80 nucleotides in length. Their secondary structure includes four short double-helical elements and three loops (D, anti-codon, and T loops). Lineage: Bacteria; Pseudomonadati; Thermodesulfobacteriota; Desulfobacteria; Desulfobacterales; Desulfococcaceae. The record is from Rfam by way of RNAcentral.
GCCAACGUAGCUCAGUUGGUAGAGCUACUGAUUUGUAAUCAGUGGGUCGGGGGUUCGAGUCCCUCCGUUGGCU